RNAcentral lists this long non-coding RNA (717 nucleotides) under Marmota monax (woodchuck). Lineage: Eukaryota; Metazoa; Chordata; Mammalia; Rodentia; Sciuridae. The record is from RNAcentral.
CUGAGACACAGAGCCAACAAUGAAGUCAACAAGAGCACUGUUUACAUUAUUGAAAAUGCAAAGCAACUGCAAAACGAAAGUGAAAAAAUUAACAUUGGUGAUGUAGUAGAAGUUAAUGCAGAUGAAACCUUCCUCUGUAUUCUUAUUCUUCUAUCAUCUGGUACCAUUGAUGAAACCUGUUAUGUCACUACAGCUAGUCUUGAUGGGGAAUCUAACUGAAAGACAGAUUAUGCAGUAUGGGAUACCAUUGAAAUGUGUACAGCUGAGUCCAGUGAUAACCUCCAAGCAGUGAUUGAACAGCCUCAACUUGACCUAUACAAGUGUGUUGGGCGAAUCAAUAUCUAUGGUAAUAGUCUUGAUACUGUUGCCAGGCCUUUAGGACCUGAAAAUCUUUUGAUGAAGGGAGCUACAUUAAAAAAAAAAAAAAAAAAAACCAAGAAGAUACAUGGAGUUGCUGUUUACACUGGGAUGGAAACCAAAAUGGCUCUGAACUAUCAAGGGAAAUCUCAAAAAUGUUCUGCUGUUGAAAAAUACAUUAAUGCCUCCUUGAUGGUAUAUUUAUUUAUCUUAUUCACUAAAGCUGCAGGAUGCACUACUCUAUCAUAGGUAUGGUAAAGUACCCCAUACAAUGAAUGAACCUUGGUAUAACCAAAAGACACAGAAAGAAGUGGAGACUUUAAAUGUUUUGAAAAUGCUCACUGACUUCCUAUCUUUUAU